Molecule: ribosomal RNA, 481 nt
Filed under: uncultured bacterium
Lineage: Bacteria
Description: bacterial SSU rRNA
Rfam family: Bacterial small subunit ribosomal RNA
Source: RNAcentral
AAUCAACGCUGGCGGCGUGCCUCAGACAUGCAAGUCGAACGAUUAAAGCUCUCUUCGGAGAGUGUAUAGAGUGGCGCACGGGUGAGUAACACGUAAGUAAUCUACCCUCGAGUGGGGAGUAACAACCGGAAACGGUUGCUAAUACCGCAUAAUGCAGCGGCACCGCAAGGUGACAGUUGUUAAAGAUUUAUCGCUUGAGGAGGAGCUUGCGGCAGAUUAGCUAGUUGGUAGGGUAACGGCUUACCAAGGCUACGAUCUGUAACCGGUCUAAGAGGACGGUCGGUCACACUGACACUGAAUAACGGGUCAGACUCCUACGGGAGGCAGCAGUCGGGAAUUUUGGGCAAUGGGCGAAAGCCUGACCCAGCAACGCCGCGUGAAGGAUGAAGUAUUUCGGUAUGUAAACUUCGAAAGAAUAGAAGAAUUAAUGACGGUACUAUUUAUAAGGUCCGGCUAACUACGUGCCAGCAGCCGCGGUAAU